UGCCCCAGCACCAGCAGCAGCUGUACAGCGCCUACGUGCCCCAGACCUAUGGCUACCAGUACUAAGCACCUGCUCCGACUGCGACUGCGAUCAUCGCCCAAGGACCACGAACCGACUGCCGAGAAACAUAAGCUUUGAUGGAUUUGACAAAAAAUAUACCCAAAAAUAUGUACUGGCAAUUAAAUCACUAAAAAAAAGCUA
Molecule: unclassified non-coding RNA, 201 nt
Filed under: Drosophila melanogaster (fruit fly)
Lineage: Eukaryota; Metazoa; Arthropoda; Insecta; Diptera; Drosophilidae
Source: RNAcentral